This 253-nucleotide ribosomal RNA is filed under the name uncultured bacterium. RNAcentral describes it as "partial 16S ribosomal RNA". It matches the Rfam family "Bacterial small subunit ribosomal RNA", at positions 524 to 776 of the family's 1533-position model. The record is from RNAcentral.
UACAGAGGUCUCAAGCGUUGUUCGGAUUCAUUGGGCGUAAAGGGUGCGUAGGCGGCGCUGUAAGUCGGGUGUGAAAUUUCGGAGCUUAACUCCGAAACUGCAUUCGAUACUGCGGUGCUUGAGGACUGGAGAGGAGACUGGAAUUCAUGGUGUAGCAGUGAAAUGCGUAGAGAUCAUGAGGAAGACCAGUGGCGAAGGCGGGUCUCUGGACAGUUCCUGACACUGAGGCGCGAAGGCCAGGGGAGCAAACGGG